RNAcentral lists this transfer RNA (73 nucleotides) under Ailuropoda melanoleuca (giant panda). It matches the Rfam family "tRNA". Rfam says of the family: Transfer RNA (tRNA) molecules are approximately 80 nucleotides in length. The record is from Rfam by way of RNAcentral. Lineage: Eukaryota; Metazoa; Chordata; Mammalia; Carnivora; Ursidae.
GCCUGGCUGGCUCAGUCAGUAGAGCAUGUAACUCUUGAUCUCAGGGCUGUGAGUUCAAGUCCCACGUUGGGCA